AACGAACGCUGGCGGCAGGCCUAACACAUGCAAGUCGAGCGAGAUCUUCGGAUCUAGCGGCGGACGGGUGAGUAACGCGUGGGAAUAUGCCCUUCGGUUCGGAAUAGCCCCGGGAAACUGGGAGUAAUACCGGAUACGGUCUACGGACGAAAGAUUUAUCGCCGAAGGAUUAGCCCGCGUUGGAUUAGGUAGUUGGUGGGGUAAUGGCCUACCAAGCCGACGAUCCAUAGCUGGUCUGAGAGGACGACCAGCCACACUGGGACUGAGACACGGCCCAGACUCCUACGGGAGGCAGCAGUGGGGAAUUUUGGACAAUGGGCGCAAGCCUGAUCCAGCAAUGCCGCGUGCAGGAAGAAGGCCUUCGGGUUGUAAACUGCUUUGUACGGAACGAAAAAGGACUCUGGUUAAUACCUGGGCGUCAUGACGGUACCGUAAGAAUAAGCACCGGCUAACUAACGUGCCAGCAGCCGC
RNAcentral lists this ribosomal RNA (471 nucleotides) under uncultured bacterium. RNAcentral's name for it is "bacterial SSU rRNA". It matches the Rfam family "Bacterial small subunit ribosomal RNA", at positions 29 to 518 of the family's 1533-position model. The record is from RNAcentral.